RNAcentral lists this ribosomal RNA (492 nucleotides) under uncultured bacterium. RNAcentral describes it as "partial 16S ribosomal RNA". It matches the Rfam family "Bacterial small subunit ribosomal RNA", at positions 30 to 507 of the family's 1533-position model. The record is from RNAcentral.
AUUGAACGCUGGCGGCAUGCUUUACACAUGCAAGUCGAACGGUAACAGGCCUUCGGGUGCUGACGAGUGGCGAACGGGUGAGUAAUGCAUCGGAACGUGCCCAGAGGUGGGGGAUAACGCAGCGAAAGCUGUGCUAAUACCGCAUGUGAUCUGAGGAUGAAAGCGGGGGACCAGGCAGCAAUGUUUGGCCUCGCGCCUUUGGAGCGGCCGAUGUCAGGUUAGGUAGUUGGUGGGGUAAAGGCCUACCAAGCCGACGAUCUGUAGCUGGUCUGAGAGGACGACCAGCCACACUGGGACUGAGACACGGCCCAGACUCCUACGGGAGGCAGCAGUGGGGAAUUUUGGACAAUGGGCGCAAGCCUGAUCCAGCAAUGCCGCGUGCGGGAAGAAGGCCUUCGGGUUGUAAACCGCUUUUGUACGGAACGAAAAGGCUCUGGCUAAUACCUGGGGCUGAUGACGGUACCGUAAGAAUAAGCACCGGCUAACUACGUG